AAUAUAUCAUCAGUCAAUCGAUCAUAUCAGUCGAUUACCGUAAUAUUUAAAGGAAGGUUAACGUCUUUCGCGAUAUACAUAUAUGUCUAGUACUAUUAUACAUAUAUAAAUAUAUUAUCGUGUAGUAUAAAACUGUGUAAAUUAUUGCAUUCAGUGAAUGAUUUUACACGUGUAAGCAAUACGUAAAUCAGCUGUUCGUAUCGUGUCGGCCUCGGUGGAAUGUGUGAUCUAUUCAAUGGAAUCCAUACCGCAUAAAUACGUCGUUUUAAAAAGCACAGGACGUUUUAAUUCAUAGAGGUGCUCGUGGCAGGUACAAUGGGUCGAUCCCGGAGAAGGUCUGCGUAACAGCAGCAGGAACACGCCGAGCACGAGAAUGAGAUUGGCCUUUGUGUAAAGCGUCGAGCCGACUUCGCCGAGUCUGCAGUCGCAACAUCCGCAUUUCAAGCAGUCUUCAUGCCAAUACAUGUCCAACGCUUUCAGAAGAUCGAGCAGCGUUGAACAUAGAUACGACAAGAAUCAACUUUAACGCAACAAUUCUAUCCGUAAUUUUGAUCAACGAUUGCAGCAAAUUCAACGAUGGAGCUGGGAAGUUAUAUGCGGAGCGUAGAGUUGUCUGGAUUCAUCGAGAGAAUCCGCAAGAAAGAGGGCAUCGAAUCGCUCUAACGCGUUACUCGUACAUCAGCACCAUUUCCUCUUCCGCGGCUAUCCUGGACCAUUCUCUUUGCAAUCUUCCCUUUCUCUCCUCCCUCCUAUCUCCCCCCACGGCUUUCGCGCUCGCGCAGGCCCCGAUUAAUUAAUUCCUACCUCAUUAGCGAACGCGGCCGGCGUUCUCUUCCUCUGCGCACGCCGUAAGUGGCAAACAGAUAUCGCGAAGCUUACGCGCCGCAAAUACGGAGGGGAGGCCACCGGCACAUAUUGUAUAUUAUUAAUAACAACUGUUUGCGGACGGCUUUUCUGUUUUCCUCUCCUCCCCUUCCUCUACCCGCUCGUUGCCAAUUUGUCGGUGUAGAUAUUGGAUUCAGCCGCGUUAACAACGCCGCAUUAUCGGCGCGGCCGGUGAUAAAAGACUGCGUCGCGCG
Long non-coding RNA from Formica exsecta, 1079 nucleotides. RefSeq lists it as uncharacterized. The transcript has 5 exons. The record is from RefSeq and is a predicted model, not a curated record. NCBI's taxonomy places the organism in Eukaryota, Metazoa, Arthropoda, Insecta, Hymenoptera, Formicidae.